Molecule: long non-coding RNA, 742 nt
Filed under: Sus scrofa (pig)
Lineage: Eukaryota; Metazoa; Chordata; Mammalia; Artiodactyla; Suidae
Description: lncRNA (ENSSSCG00070029965.1)
Source: RNAcentral
GUGAAUACUGCCUGCUGUGCUGUGAAUGAAUCUUGUAAACACAAUCAAAUGCAUCUCUCCCUUUCUCCUUCAUUCAGCGACCCCCCCCCCCCACUUACAAUCCUGCUCCGGGAGGCAAUUCCUGCCCCUCCCCUCCCAUUGUCACAGCAGUUCCUGUUUAUCGUGGGUGACAUCUUCAGCUUCAACGCAGCGUGAGCCCUGCCAUGUUGGAACUGUUCUUCGAGCCUCAGCCUUUUCGAUUAAAGCCGCUUCAUGAAUAACGAAGGAUAAAUAAAGUCAAUGUCGCCCUUUUCUCAGAGAAAACAGUAUGAGAGCUUCCCAUUUCGUGUCUACUGUGAAGACCUUCCAAAGCACACGAGUCAUGUGACUCUGAAGCUGCUGGAAUGUUCUAGAAGGAGACUCACCAAUCUCCCUGAGGGCUCCGGGGGAAUUGAUGAACUGUGGACAGACCUCCAGGUGUGGAUCUUCAUCUUGACAGACCGGUGUUGCCUUUUGAAAUCUUUUGUGGUCUUCCCAUUGUUCUUCUGAACUCCUUUGAAAAGGCAGCGAGCCACUUUCCUGCUAUCUGAAGCCAGCUCUUCGUAAUGAGGUGAUAUAAUUUAACACUUACCGUAAUACAUUUUAUCCAUCUAUUGUUUGCUAAAUAAUUCCUGCAAUAACACUUUUAUUCUUUCCAUAAUUCUUCAGGGCCAUGCUGGAGGAAUAAUAUUUUUACUGUGGUGAUUGAUGACAGGUCCCUGUG